AGGCAUAGCUCAGCUGGUUAGAGCGCUUGCUUGACAUGCAAGAGGUCGGUGGUUCGAGUCCGCUUGUCUC
Molecule: transfer RNA, 70 nt
Filed under: human gut metagenome
Rfam family: tRNA
About the family: Transfer RNA (tRNA) molecules are approximately 80 nucleotides in length. Their secondary structure includes four short double-helical elements and three loops (D, anti-codon, and T loops). Further hydrogen bonds mediate the characteristic L-shaped molecular structure. tRNAs have two regions of fundamental functional importance: the anti-codon, which is responsible for specific mRNA codon recognition, and the 3' end, to which the tRNAs corresponding amino acid is attached (by aminoacyl-tRNA synthetases). tRNAs cope with the degeneracy of the genetic code in two manners: having more than one tRNA (with a specific anti-codon) for a particular amino acid; and 'wobble' base-pairing, i.e. permitting non-standard base-pairing at the 3rd anti-codon position.
Source: RNAcentral